UUGUGGACAUUUCAUGAACAAGGGUAAUUGCUCAAAAUUUGCACAUCUUAUUUCUUCUUAUGAGUGGCUUUCUCCUUCUCUUAUCUGUGGGAGAGAGGAGGUCUUGAUCCAUUAUUUUCAACCACCAGAAAAACAUCUAGAUCUUUGAUCAUGAACUUUGCACAAAUUCCAAAUGCAUGCUACAGCCUAGUGAUUUUUUAUAGUAAUGCAGGCUCUAG
Molecule: unclassified non-coding RNA, 218 nt
Filed under: Hevea brasiliensis (rubber tree)
Lineage: Eukaryota; Viridiplantae; Streptophyta; Magnoliopsida; Malpighiales; Euphorbiaceae
Source: RNAcentral